UGAGGAAUAUUGGUCAAUGGGCGCGAGCCUGAACCAGCCAAGUAGCGUGAAGGAUGAAGGUCCUAUGGAUUGUAAACUUCUUUUAUAGCAGAAUAAAGUGACCCACGUGUGGGUUUUUGUAUGUAUGCUAUGAAUAAGGAUCGGCUAACUCCGUGCCAGCAGCCGCGGUAAUACGGAGGAUCCGAGCGUUAUCCGGAUUUAUUGGGUUUAAAGGGUGCGUAGGCGGAAAGAUAAGUCAGCCUGUGAAAGUUUGCGGCUCAACCGUAAAAUUGCAGUUAAUACUGUUUUUCUUGAGUGUACAUAAGGUAGGCGGAAUUCGUGGUGUAGCGGUGAAAUGCUUAGAUAUCACGAAGAACUCCGAUUGCGAAGGCAGCUUACCGGGGUACAACUGACGCUGAUGCACGAAAGUGUGGGUAUCAAACA
RNAcentral lists this ribosomal RNA (423 nucleotides) under uncultured bacterium. RNAcentral describes it as "bacterial SSU rRNA". It matches the Rfam family "Bacterial small subunit ribosomal RNA", at positions 355 to 774 of the family's 1533-position model. The record is from RNAcentral.